CUGCCCUCAAGCACGGCUUGUGUGUUGGGCCCCCGUCCCCGGUUCACCCCGGGGACGGGCCCGAAAGGCAGCGGCGGCACCGCGUCCGAUCCUCGAGCGUAUGGGGCUUUGUCACCCGCUCUGUAGGCCCGGCCGGCGCCAGCCGACACCCCAACUUUAUUUUUUUCUAA
This 170-nucleotide unclassified non-coding RNA is filed under the name uncultured Trichocomaceae. RNAcentral's name for it is "sequence contains ITS2". Lineage: Eukaryota; Fungi; Ascomycota; Eurotiomycetes; Eurotiales; Trichocomaceae. The record is from RNAcentral.